AUGAGUGGAGAAAGGAGUUGGGAUGAGGAGCUGGUUAGGCAUUUAUUUUACCCUUAUGAUGCGGAUGAGAUUUUGAGGUUGUGGAUCCAAUCAAAUGGGGAGGCAGAUUUUGUUGCUUGGCAUUAUGAAAAGUCAGGUUUGUUCUCAGUUAGGAGUGCGUACAAGUUAGCGCUCACCCUUAAGGAUAAAAAAGAGGAUGAGGGGCAAUCCAGUGAGGCGGUAGGGUCGGAGAGGAAAAUUUGGAAUAUUAUUUGGAAGACAAACAUUCCUCAGAAGAUUCGUAUUUUUGCAUGGAGGGUUGCUUCCAAUAGCUUGGCCGUACAGGUUAAUAGAGUGGCGCAUCAUCAAGCCUCUGUUAGUACGUGUUCUAUUUGUGGCAUGGAGGAUGAAAAUACCUUCCAUGCGCUUGUCUUGUGCCCGAAGGCGCGUGCGCUUCGCAUGGCCAUGAGGAACAUUUGGGCUCUACCUGAUGAGGAGGUUCUCAGAUAUACGGGGCAGGAUUGGUUUAUUGUUCUCCUGAGUCAAUUAAACCCCGUAAUGCGAGACCAAAUUAUAUUCUUAUUCUGGAGGAUCUGGCAUUUGAGAAAUGAUUUGAUCUUUGGUAAAGGAAAGGAAUCA
This 618-nucleotide ribosomal RNA is filed under the name Triticum aestivum (bread wheat). Its description in RNAcentral is "partial small subunit ribosomal RNA". Lineage: Eukaryota; Viridiplantae; Streptophyta; Magnoliopsida; Poales; Poaceae. The record is from RNAcentral.